This 385-nucleotide RNase P RNA is filed under the name Litoreibacter arenae DSM 19593. RNAcentral describes it as "Bacterial RNase P class A". It matches the Rfam family "Bacterial RNase P class A". From Rfam's summary of the family: Ribonuclease P (RNase P) is a ubiquitous endoribonuclease, found in archaea, bacteria and eukarya as well as chloroplasts and mitochondria. The record is from Rfam by way of RNAcentral. Lineage: Bacteria; Pseudomonadati; Pseudomonadota; Alphaproteobacteria; Rhodobacterales; Roseobacteraceae.
GCGGAGGGCCGGAUGGCCGCGUGCCCUCCGGGGUGCGAGGAAAGUCCGGACUCCACAAAGCAACGGUGCCGGGUAACGCCCGGGCGGAGCAAUCCGACGGAAAGCGCCACAGAAAACAGACCGCCCUCGCAUGCGGGGGUAAGGGUGAAACGGUGGGGUAAGAGCCCACCGCGCCGCUGGCAACAGGGGUGGCACGGCAAGCCCCACCGGGAGCAAUGCCAAAUAGGAACCGCGUGGAGGCUUCGGCCUUCGGGGGUGCUUUGUCCCCAGCAGGUUCGGGUUGGCAGCUAGAGGGCCACGGGCAACCGUGGCUUGAGAGGAAUGGUCAUCUAUCGGCGGGGUAACCCGCCGUGGACAGAAUCCGGCUUACAAGCCCUCCGCGCAU